UACGAAGGGGGCUAGCGUUGUUCGGAAUUACUGGGCGUAAAGAGUUCGUAGGCGGUUUAUUAAGCUAGAUGUGAAAUCCCUGAGCUUAACUCAGGAACUGCAUUUAGAACUGGUAGGCUAGAGAGUGUUAGAGGUUGGUAGAAUUCCUAGUGUAGGGGUGAAAUCCGUAGAUAUUAGGAGGAAUACCGAUGGCGAAGGCAGCCAACUGGGACAUUUCUGACGCUGAGGAACGAAAGCGUGGGUAGCAAACAGG
Molecule: ribosomal RNA, 253 nt
Filed under: uncultured bacterium
Lineage: Bacteria
Description: partial 16S ribosomal RNA
Rfam family: Bacterial small subunit ribosomal RNA
Source: RNAcentral